GACGAACGCUGGCGGCGUGCCUAAUACAUGCAAGUCGAGCGGACAGACGCGGAGCUUGCUCCUCUGACGUUAGAGGGGGGAGGGAGAGUAAGACGUGGUUAACCUCCCUAUAAGACUGGGAUAACUUAGGGAAACCGGAGCUAAUACGGGAUAAUAUAUUCAACCGCAGGGUUCAAUAGUGAUAGAGGGUUUUGCUGUCACCUCUAGCUGGAACCGCGCCGCAUUGGCUAGUUGCUAAGGUAACGGCUUACCAAGGCAGCGAUGCGUAGCCGACCGGGGAGGGGGAUCGGCCACACGGGAGCGUAGACACGCUCCCGACUCCUACGGGAGGCAGCAGUAGGGAAUCGUCCGCAAUGGGCGAAAGCCUUACGGAGCAACGCCGCGUCAGUGAUGAAGGUCUUCGGUUCGUAAAGCCCUGUUAUUGGUGAAGAACAAAUGUGUAAGUAACUAUGGACUUCGUGACGGUAUCUAAACAGAAAGCCCCGGCUAACUACGUG
This 497-nucleotide ribosomal RNA is filed under the name uncultured bacterium. RNAcentral's name for it is "partial 16S ribosomal RNA". It matches the Rfam family "Bacterial small subunit ribosomal RNA", at positions 28 to 507 of the family's 1533-position model. The record is from RNAcentral.